CUACGGGUCGCUGCAGUGAGGAAUAUUGCACAAUGGGGGGAACCCUGAUGCAGCAACGCCGCGUGGAGGAUGACGCAUUUCGGUGUGUAAACUCCUUUUAUCUGUCAAGAAAAUGACGGUAGCAUAUGAAUAAGCACCGGCUAACUCCGUGCCAGCAGCCGCGGUAAUACGGAGGGUGCAAGCGUUACUCGGAAUCACUGGGCGUAAAGGGCGCGUAGGCGGGUUGGAAAGUCAGGUGUGAAAUCCUACAGCUUAACUGUAGAACUGCACUUGAAACUUCUAAUCUAGAGUAUGGGAGGGGGAGAUGGAAUUAGUGGUGUAGGGGUAAUAUCCGUAGAUAUCACUAGGAAUACCUAAAGCGAAGGCGAUCUCCUGGAACAUUACUGACGCUAAGGCGUGAAAGCGUGGGGAGCAAACAGGAUUAGAUACCCCUGUAGUC
RNAcentral lists this ribosomal RNA (439 nucleotides) under uncultured bacterium. RNAcentral's name for it is "partial 16S ribosomal RNA". It matches the Rfam family "Bacterial small subunit ribosomal RNA", at positions 339 to 795 of the family's 1533-position model. The record is from RNAcentral.